GACGAACGCUGGCGGCGUGCCUAAAACAUGCAAGUCGAACGAGGUAGCAAUACCUAGUGGCGAACGGCGGAGUAAGACAUAAGCAACGUGCCCUGAAGACUGGGAUAUACAGCCGAAAGGCUGGGCAAUACCGGAUGUGGCAGCAACCCGGCAUCGGGAGGCUAUCAAAUGGUUUUUCGCUUCUGGAGCGGCUUAUGGCCUAUCAGGUAGUUGGUGGGGUAAUGGCCACCAAGCCGACGACGGGUAGCGGGUCUGAGAGGAUGAUCCGCUCGAGUGGGACUGAGACACGGCCCACACACCUACGGGAGGCAGCAGUUAGGAAUUUUGGGUCAAUGGGCGAAAGCCUGACCCAGCAACGCCGCGUGGGUGACGAAGGCCUUCGGGUUGUAAG
Molecule: ribosomal RNA, 391 nt
Filed under: uncultured bacterium
Lineage: Bacteria
Description: bacterial SSU rRNA
Rfam family: Bacterial small subunit ribosomal RNA
Source: RNAcentral